UACGUAGGAGGCAAGCGUUGUCCGGAAUUACUGGGUGUAAAGCGCGUGUCGGUGGUGGGCCAAGUCUGUGGUGAAAUCGCCCGGCUCAACUGGGCGGGGUCCGUGGAAACUGGUCGACUGGAGGACGGUAGAGGCGAGUGGAAUUCCCGGUGUAGUGGUGAAAUGCGUAGAGAUCGGGAGGAACACCAGUGGCGAAGGCGGCUCGCUGGGCCGGUCCUGACACUGAGACGCGAAGGCGUGGGGAGCGAACGGG
RNAcentral lists this ribosomal RNA (253 nucleotides) under uncultured bacterium. RNAcentral describes it as "partial 16S ribosomal RNA". It matches the Rfam family "Bacterial small subunit ribosomal RNA", at positions 524 to 776 of the family's 1533-position model. The record is from RNAcentral.